AUACGGAGGGAGCGAGCGUUAAUCGGAAUUACUGGGCGUAAAGCGCGCGUAGGCGGCUUUGUAAGUCGGAUGUGAAAGCCCUGGGCUCAACCUGGGAAUUGCAUUCGAUACUGCAGAGCUAGAGUAUGGUAGAGGGAAGUGGAAUUUCCGGUGUAGCGGUGAAAUGCGUAGAUAUCGGAAGGAACACCAGUGGCGAAGGCGACUUCCUGGGCCAAUACUGACGCUGAGGUGCGAAAGCGUGGGGAGCAAACAGGAUUAGAUACCCCGGUAGUCC
RNAcentral lists this ribosomal RNA (274 nucleotides) under uncultured bacterium. RNAcentral describes it as "partial 16S ribosomal RNA". It matches the Rfam family "Bacterial small subunit ribosomal RNA", at positions 523 to 796 of the family's 1533-position model. The record is from RNAcentral.